Molecule: long non-coding RNA, 495 nt
Organism: Astyanax mexicanus (Mexican tetra)
Lineage: Eukaryota; Metazoa; Chordata; Actinopteri; Characiformes; Acestrorhamphidae
Exons: 3
Source: RefSeq, a predicted model, not a curated record
GGGAGUGAUAGUGUGUCACCUUCAGCCAGCAGUGACAGUGACAGUGUGCUCAAAGAUUCAGCAGAUGCUGGAAGUCCUGCUUUAAGUCCACUCUGCAAUGGAGAUAUUAUACUAGUGAACUAUACUAGUCCUGGUCCUGACUCCACCCUGCCCUGCCAACGCACACCUGAUCUACCUAUCAAUCAGCCAUGUCCUGUUAAACCUGUUCACAUGAUCGUCAAGUUUCUCAGUGGGUUUAUUAAAGCAGGCAUUUCUCUAGAAUCUACUGUACAGGACAGCGAUCAGGACCAGGACUGAUGAAGACGGUGAUAAACUCUCUACAGUGAGUAAAGGGAUUAACUGGACAGUGACCGCUGCCAAUCACCCCAAGAGAUGCAUCAAUCAAGACAAACUGAAGGAAGAUGUGUGGAAGUGUCUUUACAGUAUUUAUCACCUGAGAGAUUACAGUGAGGCCUACAUUACAGUUUAGUUAUAUUAUAUUUCAGUUACACUGCA